UACGGGGGGAGCAAGCGUUGUUCGGAUUUACUGGGCGUAAAGGGCGCGUAGGCGGUCAGCACAAGUCAGUUGUGAAAUCUCCGGGCUUAACUCGGAAAGGUCAACUGAUACUGUGCGACUAGAGUGCGGAAGGGGCAACUGGAAUUCUCGGUGUAGCGGUGAAAUGCGUAGAUAUGGCACAGAACACCGAUAGUGAAGACAGCUCACGAGGGCGUUAUUGACGCUGAGGCACGAAAGCGUGGGGAUCGAACAGG
Molecule: ribosomal RNA, 254 nt
Filed under: uncultured bacterium
Lineage: Bacteria
Description: partial 16S ribosomal RNA
Rfam family: Bacterial small subunit ribosomal RNA
Source: RNAcentral